This 253-nucleotide ribosomal RNA is filed under the name uncultured bacterium. RNAcentral describes it as "partial 16S ribosomal RNA". It matches the Rfam family "Bacterial small subunit ribosomal RNA", at positions 524 to 776 of the family's 1533-position model. The record is from RNAcentral.
UACAGAGGGUGCGAGCGUUGUCCGGAAUCACUGGGCGUAAAGGGCGCGUAGGUGGCGGCCCAAGUCCAUGGUGAAAGCUCGAUGCUCAACAUCGAGUCGGCCACGGAUACUGGGUUGCUCGAGCACUGUAGAGGCAGAUGGAAUUCCGGGUGUAGCGGUGGAAUGCGUAGAGAUCCGGAAGAACACCGGUGGCGAAGGCGGUCUGCUGGGCAGUAGCUGACACUGAGGCGCGACAGCGUGGGGAGCAAACAGG